AUUCCAGCUCCAAUAGCGUAUAUUAAAGUUGUUGCAGUUAAAAAGCUCGUAGUUGAAUUUCUGGGGUGGGCGCCGGUCCGUCAUUUUGACGCGUACUUGGUUUUGUCCUGCCCCAUUCUUGUGGGGUGCGUGUUGGGUCCUUGAUUGGUUCCGCGCGUGUUUUAAGCCCUGCAUCGAUUACUGUGAACAAAUUAGAGUGUUUAAGGCGGGCUGUAGGCUUGAAUACAUUAGCAUGGAAUAAUGACAUAGGACUUUGGGUUCUAUUUCGUUGGUUGAGACCUGAGGUAAUGAUUAAUAGGGAUAGUUGGGGGUAUUCAUAUUUGAUUGUCAGAGGUGAAAUUCUUGGAUUUAUUAAAGAUGAACAACUGCGAAAGCAUUUACCAAGGAUGUUUUCAUUA
Molecule: ribosomal RNA, 398 nt
Filed under: Bicosoeca sp.
Lineage: Eukaryota; Bigyra; Bicosoecida; Bicosoecidae
Description: partial small subunit ribosomal RNA
Rfam family: Eukaryotic small subunit ribosomal RNA
Source: RNAcentral